UAAGCAUAAUUUGAAGUGAAUUUCACCUAAAUUUACAUAUCAUCCACUUUCCGUUACCAAACAAACAGUCUACACCAGAAGCGGAUCACCUUGUGUUUUUCUAUAAAUAUCUUCCUCAUUUCUCUCCACUUUUUUGGCAUUUCAGAGAGAAACAAAAGAGACAGAGAUAGAGCGAGAGAGAGAGAGAGAGAGAGAGCGAGCGCGAGAGAGAAGUGGAUCUCUUCUUAUCUGUUUACCUGGUUAAUCUUUCUUUCUCUUUUCAACUCUGAAUUCCUCCUAUAUAAUAUAUUUAAUAUCUUUGUAUGUGUAUGUGCAGCUGUUUCGAAGAAUGUAUGUUAGAUUCAUGAUGUUCCAGUAGUUUUUAGAUGUAAUCUAUUUAUGAAUUGCUGAUAUAUUGAAGGUAGUGUUGAAUUUGUGUGUUGAAUUGGAUUCGUGUCGUAUAUUUUGCCACGUUGACUUUCUAGGGUUUACACUUUUUCUCCUUUUCAAUUCUUAUUAUUAAUUGUUUAUAUAGUUGAUUAUAUUGUAGUCUAUCAGCUACCUGUACGUUAUAAUUGACUGAUGUGAUGAUAAAAAUGGAGCAAGUAUAUGAAUAGUUUACUGUUCUAGCCGGGAGCCUUGAACAUAGCUUAUACAGUAGCUUUAAGAUGUGUUGUGGAAAUACAGAUUAUUUUUCAUAGUAGAUCUUGUUGAUGAACAAAGUGUUGGGAGUCACAGUGAAAAUCACAGCAACAAUGNNN
Molecule: long non-coding RNA, 740 nt
Filed under: Daucus carota (carrot)
Lineage: Eukaryota; Viridiplantae; Streptophyta; Magnoliopsida; Apiales; Apiaceae
Description: long non-coding RNA (DCAR_LNC002961)
Source: RNAcentral